This 52-nucleotide ribosomal RNA is filed under the name Saccharum hybrid cultivar. RNAcentral describes it as "partial 18S rRNA". The record is from RNAcentral. Lineage: Eukaryota; Viridiplantae; Streptophyta; Magnoliopsida; Poales; Poaceae.
UUGAAGUAAAGUGUUUGACAAGGUUCCGUAGGUGAACUGCGGAAGAUCAUGU